UGGUGGGUGGCGAUGAUUUUCUCUCUCAUAUCUGGAAUCAAAUCUUUCCAACAUUACAUUCCAUGGGAGAAAUAAGCGAGCGAAUCGAAGUGUGUUCUCUUCUCCCAAGCUGAUGGUGGGACAAUCCCAGCAGACACAACCAUGUCUCAUCCCUCUGCUCCCUGUCCUCCUGGAUCAUGUCUCUGUAGUUCCCUGUGCUGAGAGUGGCUGGAAAAGGAGAUGUUCCACGCAGGGCAGCACCCUGCUGAGCAUCCUUCGGCCAGCUCUGCCCAGGAUAGGCACCUUUUCAAACAGCCAGACUGGAAUUCAAAAGAAGUAAGAAGCUGCACUUGUUCCAUUGAUUUGGAGUUGGCAAAGCUCGUACACUCACAAACACGCCGCUUUCUGCCUCCUUUAGAAGCAGUGAGAUCUUCCUAUUGAACAGGUACACUGAAUCUAUCCAGCAGCUUUGUUUUCCCUGUCCAC
This is a long non-coding RNA of Centrocercus urophasianus (Greater sage-grouse), 465 nucleotides long. RefSeq lists it as uncharacterized. The record is from RefSeq and is a predicted model, not a curated record. The transcript has 3 exons. NCBI's taxonomy places the organism in Eukaryota, Metazoa, Chordata, Aves, Galliformes, Phasianidae.